Molecule: long non-coding RNA, 1276 nt
Filed under: Monodelphis domestica (gray short-tailed opossum)
Lineage: Eukaryota; Metazoa; Chordata; Mammalia; Didelphimorphia; Didelphidae
Description: lncRNA (ENSMODG00000042024.1)
Source: RNAcentral
CAUGAUCUCCCUCUCUAUUACUAUUUCAUAAAACCUAUUUUUUUUUUGCCUAUCCUUUCAUUCAAUAUCUCCUCCUUGUCAAAACUAAGCCAUCUCUGUGUCUUUGAUCCCAACCUUCCCAUCUCUUUUAGGAGCUUGUCCUAUAUAGAUCACUUCCCCUCCAGUUUGCCGUGCCCUAUCUUCAAUCUCCUAGCUCCCGUGCUGCUGAGAUAUAUGAUCAGGCCUCCCUCAUCCUUUAAAAAAAUCCUUUCAGGGGGCAGCUGGGUGCUUUACUAAUCUUUUUUAGCUAUAUAACUGUAAAUCUGUGGCUUUCCACAGAUAAUCAUCUGUAAAAACCAGUUUCCUUCUCAUUUUUCCAGUAAAAAUGCUCUUCAUGCAUAUAUAAACCAUAUAAAAAUUUUAUAUAUAUACAAGGAAAUUGGCAUAUAGGUUUCUAAUUGCUAUUGCCUUUUUGGUCAUGAUUUCUGGGUAAAAAUAUUGAGAAUGAUUACUUUUUUUUCCUAUCUUUUAGAUAUCCUUAAAAUUGACUUGAGUAUUUUUAAAAUUGUUUUGCUUUCAGGACAAAUUUUUUUUUUCUAUAAGUAUUCAGUUGUCUCCAUUCCUGGCUUUCCAUAUUCAUAAAUAUAUUUUAUACCAAGAUUACCAAUAUGGAUAUAGAUCAGAUCUUUUAAUAUCACUCAAUUUAUACUCGGAAUGGCAACCAUAAUAUUUGUGCUUGUGGACUAAGAACUAUAUGAUUCUUUGCUCUUUCUAACCCAUUUUCUAACUUCACCAGUCAUAGGGGAAUUGGGAAGACUGAAGGCCAUUCUGAUAUUUAGUCUGUGUCAUGUAUUACAAUCUCCCAAAGAAUUCAUCACUGCUAUGUUGAUCUGUGACACUCAAGGGAGUAUGAAAAGUAGAAGAUUUCUUAAGAUUUUUUUGGUAAUACUCAGGUUAGUUUUAUUUUAAUAUACUGUUGCAUGCAUGUUAUCUCAAGGACAAGAGGAAAAGACACAGACUGUUACUAAUUGAAUAAGAAAGAGGAGUGGUAACCAUGUAAAGAGAAGAUAACCAAAGAAUGGAGCCUGACUAUUAAUAUACCAUUGGAGAGUCUUAAUAUAGGAUCUUCCAUGGAUGUGUAGUCAAAUUUGGGGCCUGGAUUGGAUGAUGCUUGCAAGCAUUAUUCAUAUAUUUAAGGCCCUGUGGAGACUUUGGGAGGUAAAGUAAGGUUGUUUAGUGCAUGGCAUUCCCUAUUUCCUUGACUAAUUAAUCCUAGUCACAUAGGAUUAAAAAAACU